Molecule: ribosomal RNA, 226 nt
Filed under: uncultured bacterium
Lineage: Bacteria
Description: partial 16S ribosomal RNA
Rfam family: Bacterial small subunit ribosomal RNA
Source: RNAcentral
GCGUUGUCCGGAAUCAUUGGGCGUAAAGCGCGUGUAGGCGGCUUGGUAAGUCCGCUCUGAAAGCCCGGGGCUCAACCCCGGGAGGCGGGUGGAUACUGUCAAGCUCGAGUCCGGAAGAGGCGAGUGGAAUUCCUGGUGUAGCGGUGAAAUGCGCAGAUAUCAGGAGGAACACCAAUGGCGAAGGCAGCUCGCUGGGACGUGACUGACGCUGAGACGCGAAAGCGUG